ACAAACGCGUCCAACCCUAACCUAACAUCAGAAAUCAAACUUCAAACAUCUUAACCCUUUCUUCUGCUCAGCGGCGGUGACCUCGACCCCGACGGCGACCAUGACGGCGACGGCGACUGCAACAUCCGAUGGCACCACCGACUCCGGAUUAGGUUUUUGGCCUUUAUAUUCAUCAUGGAGGACAUUUCAUUCCGAAUGGAAAGUUUCAGAAAUGUAUUGGUGGUGGAAUGGCACAAGCAAGUGAUCUAGACCCAGACAUAUUUGGGUAUUUUGACUUAAUUGAGGAAUUGAAUAAAAUAGGGAUUGACACAUGGGGUAGACUCACCUUUGUGAAUCCUAUGUCAGCAACCCACGUGGAUAUAAAAAGUGAUAGGAGGUGAUGGAGAUGUUUUAGCUACUCUAAGAGUCAGUUUUACCAGAAUGUGUAGUAUAUAUGUUGUUAAUGGGAUGAGGUCUACUGAAGGCAUGGGUGGUAAACAUGUGGGAGAGAAGGUGGUGAAAAAGGUUGAAACUGUGAAAAAUAGCAAGAGUAUAGUUGAAAAGAGUAACUUUAAGCCUGCCACAAAAAUUAGAAAUUCCACUCUAUGAGCAAGGGUAAGAGUGUGAUUGAAAAAAAUGUGGAGAAAAAUGUGGUUCAAUCAGUGGAGAAUAGGGUUGUUGAAAGUGUUUGUAAGAAUGUUGCUAUAUCUUUUGGUAGAAGUGGCAGUGAGAGGGUGGUUAAGUCUAUUGAGAAGCAAUGUAGUGAAACAUUUAGUAAGAAUGUAAGUGGAGCUGUGAAUAAGACAAUGGCUCGAUCUGUGGAUAAUAAUGCAAGUGAGACUGGGAGUAAGAGUUUGAGUGAUUCUGUGGAGAAGAAUAACAUGAGUGGCUCUGUGGAGAAGAAUUUGAGUUGGAUCAGCUAAUGAGGUUUUUUGGAGAUGGUGAGUAUGAGAGUUCAAGUGAUGGCAGUUAUAUACCAUCAAGUGAUGAGAAGACCGAUGAUGAAAUGGAAGCCAAUGAGCUAGUCAAUGGAGGAUAGAAGAGUGACUAUGUGUCUGAAUAUGAAAAUUCUAAAGAUGAUGAUAUUUAUUCUGACUCGACUGAUUUUGAAGAUAAAGGAAGAUGGUCCAGAAAAUGACAUGCUAAAGUGAUGUAUGAUCCAAAAUGUGAUCAUAAGCUUCUUGCAUUCAGUGCUGGUAUAGGAUUUAUUGAUGGUCACUAGGCUAGAGAGGCACUGUCAGAGUCCUAGUGAAUGGAGGAUAUCUGGGAGUCGAGUGAGGACGAGUGGUGUAUUUUUAAUAAAAAAAAUCAGGAAGGGGUUCUCACUUGUCCUAGGGCUAUGAGGAAUAAAAGUGCUACAUCAAAUUGGAUUGUUAGAAAAUACUUCCAUAUCUUUAAGCUUAAACCAAAUAUGAGUUGUAAAGAUUUAGGUAGGGAUUUAAUGUAGAGUAAUGCUGUUGAGGCCACAAGGUGGAAACUAUUCCAUUCAAAGAGAAAAGCUAUUCAUCUGUUGAGGGGAUCUAUGGAAGAUCAUUAUGCCAAGUUGAGGAGCUAUGUACUUGAGUUGAGUAGAGCUGACAAAGAAGGUAAAUUUGAGCUACAUGUAGAUGUAGGCGUUGUGUUCAAGGCAAUGUACAUUGGAUUUAGUGGGUUGAGAAGGGGUUCAAGAAGGGGUGUAGGAUGGUGAUUGGACUAGAUGGGGCUUUCUUGAAGACUUACCUGGGUGACAUUUUGUUAUCUGCAGUGGGAACUGAUGGGAAUAAUCAAAUGUAUCCUAUAGCUUGGGCAGUAGUUGUAGUUGAGAACGAGGUUUGCUGGACUUGGUUCAUUAACAUUCUAGUGCAAGAGUUGAACAUGAGUGAAGGAGUUGGAAUUACUAUCAUAAGUGAUCAGCAAAAGGUAUAAUCUAAACUGACACUUUACUUGUGCAUUCACUAAACACUUAGAUUACGACUAACGCAAAUAUUUAUGAUUGUACGGGCUUGUCCCAUUUGGAUGAGCACAGAAAUUGUGCAAGACAAUCUAUGCCAAUUGGAAAAAAAUUCUCAAAGGUCCUAAACUGAAGAAGUUUUUUUGGAAGCUGGUUAGAAGCACCUACAUGCACGAGUAUGAAUUGGCAUGCAAGGAAUUAGAGAAUGAAGAUGGGAAAGCAUUUGCUGAUUUAAUGGAUAAGAACCCGAGAGAUUCUGUAAGGCCUUCCUCACCCCAAUACAAUGCUAUGAUGCUAUUCUCAACAAUGUUUGUGAGUGUUUCAAUGCAUACAUUUUGGAGGCUAGAAACAAACACAUAAUAGACAUGCUUGAGGAGAUAAGAACAACGCUUAUGGAGAGAUUGUAUAGAAAGGCUGUAGAGAUUGCAUCUGCUGGGAGUAGUUCAACUAUGUGUCCAAAAAUUAAAAAAAAAUCAAUGCAAUGGUAUAUGAGAGCAGAAACUGCACGACAAUGCCUGCAUUAGGGGGAAAUUUCGAAGUUACUCACUUCGAUGACAGAUUUGUAGUGACUCCUUCAAAAAGACAGUGUGGUUGUAGGAAGUGGGAUGUAACAUGCAUCCCUUGUUUGCAUGGUGUUGCUGUUAUUAACUUUUUGAAGGAGGAUGUCGAUGAAUACGUCCACCAAUACUUUUCAGUGAGUAAGUAUAAGUUGGCAUAUGGGUAUGGCCUACUAACUAUGAAUGGGGAGAAACUAUGGCAUAUUGUUGAAGGUUAUCCUGUCACCCCACCACAUGUGAGAAAGAUGCCUGGUAGACCUAAGAAGGUUAGGAGGAGGGACCCAUUUAAGAAGGAUCCGGAAAGAACAAACAAGCUAAGAAGAUAUGUGCAAUGACUUGCCAAAACUGUUUCCAAGAAGGCCACAACUCUAGGUGUUGCAAAAAUGAGACUUUUCAUCUGCCAGAGAAACCAAAGGCCUCGCAAGCCGCCACAAGCUUCGACGUCACAUAGUGGCACCACCACGGUUCGAGGGAGGGGUAGAGGAAGAGGGACUGGAAGAAGAGGGAGGGCUAGAGUUGGACCGAGUGGAGCAAACCCAGUUGGAGUAGUCUCUACUCAACAAAGUGCAACCUAAAGAUGUGACAUGAAGAUGUUCUUUGUUUGUUUCUAUUGCAUUAACUGUUCGGUGUUGUUAUGAAAUGACAUUUGGAGAUAUUUGGUUUGUUUUGUUGACAUUUUUUUGAGCUAUUUGGUUUGUUUUGGUGACAA
Molecule: long non-coding RNA, 3175 nt
Organism: Salvia splendens (bonfire salvia)
Lineage: Eukaryota; Viridiplantae; Streptophyta; Magnoliopsida; Lamiales; Lamiaceae
Exons: 3
Source: RefSeq, a predicted model, not a curated record